GACGAACGCUGGCGGCGCGCCUAACACAUGCAAGUCGAGCGGAGUUAGUUUGUAGCUUGCUACAAACUAACUUAGCGGCGGACGGGUGAGUAACGCGUGGAUAACCUGCCUUUUACAGGGGGAUAACACAGGGAAACUUGUGCUACUACCGCAUCACAUAUAGAAGUGGCAUCACUUUUCUAUCAAAGGAGCAAUUCGGUAGAAGAUGGAUCCGCGUCGGAUUAGCUAGUUGGCGGGGUAAAGGCCCACCAAGGCGACGGUCGGUAGCCGAACUGAGAGGUUGAUCGGCCACAUUGGGACUGAGACACGGCCCAGACUCCUACGGGAGGCAGCAGUGGGGAAUAUUGCGCAAUGGGGGAAACCCUGACGCAGCAACGCCGCGUGAAGGAUGAAGGCUUUCGGGUUGUAAACUUCUUUAGUCGGGGACGAAAAAAUGACGGUACCCGAAGAAUAAGCCACGGCUAACUACGUGCCAGCCGCCGCAGUAA
RNAcentral lists this ribosomal RNA (488 nucleotides) under uncultured bacterium. RNAcentral's name for it is "partial 16S ribosomal RNA". It matches the Rfam family "Bacterial small subunit ribosomal RNA", at positions 28 to 523 of the family's 1533-position model. The record is from RNAcentral.